RNAcentral lists this ribosomal RNA (254 nucleotides) under uncultured bacterium. RNAcentral describes it as "partial 16S ribosomal RNA". It matches the Rfam family "Bacterial small subunit ribosomal RNA", at positions 524 to 776 of the family's 1533-position model. The record is from RNAcentral.
CACGUAGGGUGCAAGCGUUGUCCGGAUUUAUUGGGCGUAAAGGGCUCGUAGGCGGUUCGACAAGUCGGGUGUGAAACCUCCAGGCUCAACCUGGAGUCGCCACUCGAAACUGUUGUGACUAGAGUCCGGUAGGGGAGCAUGGAAUUCCUGGUGUAGCGGUGGAAUGCGCAGAUAUCAGGAGGAACACCAGUGGCGAAGGCGAUGCUCUGGGCCGGUACUGACGCCGAGGAGCGAAAGCAUGGGGAGCGAACAGG